GGAGAGGUGGCAGAGUCUGGUUGAAUGCGCCGCACUCGAAAUGCGGUGUUCGCGUAAGCGAACCGGGGGUUCGAAUCCCUUCCUCUCCG
Molecule: transfer RNA, 89 nt
Filed under: Fidelibacterota bacterium
Lineage: Bacteria; Pseudomonadati; Fidelibacterota
Also listed under: 1 other name
Description: tRNA-Ser
Rfam family: tRNA
About the family: Transfer RNA (tRNA) molecules are approximately 80 nucleotides in length.
Source: RNAcentral